This 481-nucleotide small RNA is filed under the name uncultured Entrophospora. RNAcentral's name for it is "SSU rRNA". It matches the Rfam family "Eukaryotic small subunit ribosomal RNA", at positions 569 to 1047 of the family's 1831-position model. Lineage: Eukaryota; Fungi; Glomeromycota; Glomeromycetes; Entrophosporales; Entrophosporaceae. The record is from RNAcentral.
AGCAGCCGCGGUAAUUCCAGCUCCAAUAGCGUAUAUUAAAGUUGUUGCAGUUAAAAAGCUCGUAGUUGAAUUUCGGGAUUUGCACAUCGGUCGUGCCUUAAGGGGUAUGAACUGGUGUAGUGAAUUUCUCACCUUCUGGAGAACCGCGAUGUCCUUAAUUGGGUGCCGCGAGGAACCAGGACCUUUACUUUAGAAAAAUUAGAGUGUUUAAAGCAGGCAUUUUUGCUUGAAUACAUUAGCAUGGAAUAAUAAAAUAGGACGGCAUGAUUCUAUUUUGUUGGUUUCUAGGAUCACCGUAAUGAUUAAUAGGGAUAGUUGGGGGCAUUAGUAUUCAAUUGUCAGAGGUGAAAUUCUUGGAUUUAUUGAAGACUAACUACUGCGAAAGCAUUUGCCAAGGAUGUUUUCAUUAAUCAAGAACGAAAGUUAGGGGAUCGAAGACGAUCAGAUACCGUCGUAGUCUUAACCAUAAACUAUGCCGACU